GAGACUCUGUGCGCGUGCAUAUCAAUAAGCGGAGGAAAAGAAACUAACAAGGAUUCCCCUAGUAACGGCGAGUGAAGCGGGAAGAGCUCAAAUUUGAAAUCUUAAAGGUUUCUACCUUGACGAAUUGUAGUUUAAAGAAGUGUUUUCUGUUAGAUGAGUCGCGUAAAAGUUCCUUUGGAAUAGGACAUCAUAGAGGGUGAGAAUCCCGUAUUUGACCGUUACUUUCCAGCUGUGUGAUACACUUUCAAAGAGUCGGAUUGUUUGGGAAUGCAGUCCAAGAUGGGUGGUAAAUUUCAUCUAAAGCUAAAUAUUGGCGAGAGACCGAUAGCGAACAAGUACCGUGAGGGAAAGAUGAAAAGAACUUUGAAAAGAAAGUUAAACAGUACGUGAAAUUGUCAAAAGGGAAGCGUUUGACACCAGUGUUGUUUAGUUGAAAAUCAAUUCAAUAGUUUUUGAUUCUAAGUAGUAUUGACUUCAUCAGCUUGCUGCUUUCUUCUCAGAAAUUAUUGAAUGCACUUUUCAGUUAACAAGUCAACAUCAAUUUCUUUUGUUGUAAAAGGGUAAGAGGAAGGUGGCUUGCGCUUCGGCUCAAGUGUUUAUAGCCUUUUAUCUCUGCAAUCGGAGAGAUUGAGGUCUGCAGCGUAGAUCCUUCGGGGUUAGAUACAUUGGUGCUAAGCUAUAGCCUUGUAUAGACAACUUGUUGACUAUGCUCAGUCAUGUAGCUUACUCGCUGAUGUAUUUUACCUACGCUUAGGAUGUUGACUGAUAUGUAGUCGUA
RNAcentral lists this ribosomal RNA (778 nucleotides) under uncultured Neocallimastigales. RNAcentral describes it as "partial large subunit ribosomal RNA". It matches the Rfam family "Eukaryotic large subunit ribosomal RNA", at positions 23 to 644 of the family's 3401-position model. The record is from RNAcentral. Lineage: Eukaryota; Fungi; Neocallimastigomycota; Neocallimastigomycetes; Neocallimastigales.